UACGGAAGGCAGCAGUGGGGAAUAUUGCACAAUGGGCGAAAGCCUGAUGCAGCUAUGCCGCGUGUAUGAAGAAGGCCUUAGGGUUGUAAAGUACUUUCAUCGGGGAGGAAAAAACAAAACUAAUAAUUUUAUUUCUUGACGUUACCCGAAAAAGAAGCACCGGCUAACUCCGUGCCAGCAGCCGCGGUAAUACGGAGGGUGCUAGCGUUAAUCAGAAUUACUGGGCGUAAAGAGCACGUAGGUUGUUUUUUUAAGUCAGAUGUGAAAUCCCUGGGCUUAACCUAGGAACUGCAUUUUGAAACUGAAAUACUAGAGUAUCGUAGAGGGAGGUAGAAUUCUAGGUGUAGCGGUGAAAUGCGUAGAUAUCUGGAGGAAUACCUGUGGCGAAAGCGGCCUCCUAAACGAAUACUGACACUGAGGUGCGAAAAGCGUGGGGAGCAAAACAGGGAUUAGAUACC
RNAcentral lists this ribosomal RNA (458 nucleotides) under uncultured bacterium. RNAcentral's name for it is "bacterial SSU rRNA". It matches the Rfam family "Bacterial small subunit ribosomal RNA", at positions 340 to 786 of the family's 1533-position model. The record is from RNAcentral.